CGAUGUUGAGAGGAAAGUCCGGGCAGCUCGAGCCACCAUGCUUCCUAACGGGAAGGAGUCUCUUUCCGAACACAACGAACGGGAAAGCGUAAGCGGGGAGACCACAGAGAGCGCCACAGAAAAGAUACCGCCGGUUAGAGGAGUCCAAAUUAAUUAUUAACCGGUAAGGGUGAAAACGCGGGGUAAGAGCCCACGACGUGUCCCGGUGACGGGCACGAUGGCAAGCCUCAUGGGCUGAAAGACCAUGUAUACCAGUCUGUCUGACGACAGCAAGCAGGCUCGCUUGUCUGACUGGGGGGUAGGUUGAUUGAGACCGUCGGUGACGGCGGUCCUAGAUUAAUGAUAGAACACGACAGAACCCGGCUUAUAGACCC
Molecule: RNase P RNA, 374 nt
Filed under: bovine gut metagenome
Description: Bacterial RNase P class A
Rfam family: Bacterial RNase P class A
About the family: Ribonuclease P (RNase P) is a ubiquitous endoribonuclease, found in archaea, bacteria and eukarya as well as chloroplasts and mitochondria. Its best characterised activity is the generation of mature 5'-ends of tRNAs by cleaving the 5'-leader elements of precursor-tRNAs. Cellular RNase Ps are ribonucleoproteins.
Source: RNAcentral